UUAAUAUUCCAAGAGAAGCAGAGACAAGAGAGGGAGAGAGUACUGAAUGUGGUCGAGGUCUCAGUUCCAGUGGUUUCUGAGGCCAAAAUGCACCUCUUUCCUUCUGGUAAUUUCAUGAGCUCUGGAUAUCACUGCUUGGAGAAAUCUGUACCUUGACAAGAGCAGAGGACAACAUAUGCAAAAGCCAGAGAAGGCCUGCUUGGAGAAGAAAGAGACAAUAAUGAGAAGGCUAGAGAAGAGCAGAGUAUGCCCUGACUGUGACUUUGGAUGAAGCUAUUGAGUCCUGUUUCCCUGGGAUUCCGUCCAGAGCCCUCAGUUCUGACGUCCUGAGGUAUUUGGAGAGGCCAAGGUCAACAUGAGCAAUUCUGAGUUUCAGAGAAAGUUUAUUUCUCUAAUGGUUUGUGU
RNAcentral lists this long non-coding RNA (405 nucleotides) under Equus asinus (donkey). Its description in RNAcentral is "lncRNA (ENSEASG00005035590.1)". The record is from RNAcentral. Lineage: Eukaryota; Metazoa; Chordata; Mammalia; Perissodactyla; Equidae.